UAAUACGGAAGGGGCUAGCGUUGUUCGGAAUUACUGGGCGUAAAGCGCGCGUAGGCGGCUUUUCAAGUGAGGCGUGAAAGUCCUGGGCUCAACCUGGGGACGGCGCUUCAGACUGUCUGGCUCGAGUCCGGAAGAGGGUGGUGGAAUUCCGAGUGUAGAGGUGAAAUUCGUAGAUAUUCGGAGGAACACCGGUGGCGAAGGCGGCCACCUGGUCCGGUACUGACGCUCAAGUGCGAAAGCGUGGGGAGCAAACAGGAUUAGAUACCCUGGUAGUCCACGCUGUAAACGAUGGGUGCUAGAUGUCGGGGGGCUUGCUCUUCGGUGUCGUAGCUAACGCGUUAAGCACCCCGCCUGGGGAGUACGGCCGCAAGGUUA
RNAcentral lists this ribosomal RNA (375 nucleotides) under uncultured bacterium. RNAcentral describes it as "bacterial SSU rRNA". It matches the Rfam family "Bacterial small subunit ribosomal RNA", at positions 521 to 896 of the family's 1533-position model. The record is from RNAcentral.